RNAcentral lists this antisense RNA (195 nucleotides) under Duffyella gerundensis. Its description in RNAcentral is "Erwinia gerundensis Yersinia sRNA 276". It matches the Rfam family "Yersinia sRNA 276". Lineage: Bacteria; Pseudomonadati; Pseudomonadota; Gammaproteobacteria; Enterobacterales; Erwiniaceae. The record is from Rfam by way of RNAcentral.
CACCGACAUCAGCGAUUCAUUCUGUGAGCCUGCGCCCACCGCCAGGUAAGCGUGCAUCCCCAGCUCUUUCAUCUGCUGCUCGCCAAUCACGCGCGUGGUGAUGUUUUUGCUGUAGGCAUCGGCCAGCUGGCGCGCCUGCGAAGCAAGAUAAGCGGGAUUACAGAUAUUUGGCGGCAUAUUACCAAGGUCUUUCGC